UACGGAGGGGGCAAGCGUUGUUCGGAAUUACUGGGCGUAAAGGGCGCGUAGGCGGCCUUCUAAGUCGGACGUGAAAUCCCUCGGCUUAACCGAGGAACUGCGUCCGAUACUGAAAGGCUUGAAUCCGGGAGAGGGAUGUGGAAUUCCAGGUGUAGCGGUGAAAUGCGUAGAUAUCUGGAGGAACACCGGUGGCGAAGGCGGCAUCCUGGACCGGUAUUGACGCUGAGGCGCGAAAGCUAGGGGAGCAAACGGG
This 253-nucleotide ribosomal RNA is filed under the name uncultured bacterium. Its description in RNAcentral is "partial 16S ribosomal RNA". It matches the Rfam family "Bacterial small subunit ribosomal RNA", at positions 524 to 776 of the family's 1533-position model. The record is from RNAcentral.